This is a long non-coding RNA of Tachysurus fulvidraco (yellow catfish), 1999 nucleotides long. RefSeq lists it as uncharacterized. The transcript has 2 exons. Lineage: Eukaryota; Metazoa; Chordata; Actinopteri; Siluriformes; Bagridae. The record is from RefSeq and is a predicted model, not a curated record.
CCGCUGCGGGCCUGAUGGAGGGAGGAGACUGUGGUCCAGAACUGACUGAACGAAUCAAAUCGCUCCACACAACUCAAGGCUCGACUGUCACUCCACCUGCCUCCCUGCAGACGAGUGUAACCUCCUGGUGCAGUGAGAAAGGGGUCUGCAGCGCCACCCGCAGGCUGAAGUCACUCACUCCUGUCACACACAACUACCCUGUAACUAUAAUGUAACAUUAGAAUGCUAUACUCAGUAAAUAUCACCUCUUAGAUUAAAGACCUUACCCUCGAUGUAGGCGUAGAGCCUUUGAGGAGACAGCAGGGGGAAGCGGAUGGGCUCCAGAACUUCCACCAUGUGCUUCUUCCUGUGUGUGAUGUCAUGGAGAAGCCAGCUCAUGGCUGCUGUAAACACCUGGUACUCGUCCUCGAUCCUCAACUCCUCACUGCGCAGCAAGCAUGCAAGCUGAUCCUUCGACAGGCUGGAGAACUCCUCCUCCUCACACACCUAACACUCAGAGUUAUCGGUACAGUCAGGGGGUUAAACUCACACACACACACACACACAGAGUUAAAGGUACAGUCAGGUGUGCUGGAGGCUGGGGCUCACCUGUAGGAAGUGGGCGUGGAUGUAGUUCUGAGUGAACUCUAGGAGCUCGUUGUAGCUGAUCUGUUCCAGGAACUGAUAAAUUCCGACACAGUUACUCGGCUCCAUGUGGCUCCUCAGAAACUCCCCACAGAUAAGCACGAGCUCGCCGAGCUGCAGCAUGUCGGCCGCCAUCGUGAGAUCCUGAACGUUCUCCACCGUCACCUCCACACAGCCUCUCACACACAAAUAAUACACUAAAUAAAUGCCUGUGUCUGUGUGUCUGAAUCAGGUGACUAUUGACGUAGGGACCUGGGGAUCUACCGGUGCAGUAUAUGUCCCAGUGGGUCUACACGUGCCCAUUACUAUUCACUCACCUGUGCACAUUUGUAUCUACCUGUGUAUAUAAACUCCAGAAGACACUCAAACACGUCUGGGUCCACCCCAGCGAUGUGCACUUCCUCCUCACGUGCCUCGCUCAUGGCGGAGUUAAAGAGGGCAGAGAAGUACGGCCCGCUGGCCGCCAGGACCAACCGGUGGACCCGGAACGUCCGACCUCCUACCAGCAGACGCACAUCACACAGCUCUGAGUGCAGACGCAUCUUAUUCAUCUGAGCCAGCAGCAAGUGUGCAUGAUGCUCAGAAGAACGACAAGAACCAUCCUUUAUUCUUGUAGCUCUGAUGUCGCUCACACCCGAGGGUGGGGCUAAGCCUGACUGGCAGGUGGAUGACAUUGUGGUGAUGGGACGACCCUCAAACCCGCCGUUACCUACAAAUGACUUAAAACAGCAGACAUGGUUUCUGUCAUAUAUAUCUGUAUAUGAGGUAAUGAAGGUUCAAAGGUCACAGUGGUAGCAAAGUGAUUCUGCUCUUAUACAUGUCUUUAAUGUAUUAUUAUAUAUUAGAUAUAUAUCUCUGAAUCCUGUCAGCAGCUGGAGAUGAUGACGUCAGUGUGAGAUCCAGAUCAUCAGGUGUAUAAAAUCUCCUCAUAUCAGCAUUUUCCUGUGGAACAGAAGAACACAGCUUAUGUAAACAACACUGCGCAUGCGCAGUAAGGGGCGCAGCUCAUACAGAUGAAACAAACACAAGUAUAAUGCAAACCAUUCCGGAUGUUAUUAAGGUUUUUACUCAGAUUUAUACACAUUAUAAGUGUUGAAUAGAGUGAAAUAAAGUGUAUAUAUAUCCCGCUACAGUGUGCUUCUCUUACCAGCCGUGUUUUGGGUUGUUUAAUGAUUAUUUUCACCGCAGCUCAACACAGCACUUCCGCAUUUCUAUCGAUUUCUCUGUGAUCAACAUUCAGACCUGACGGUCAGAUCGCCGAACUCCGAAAAACCUCGAAAUUUGUGUUUUUAUGUGCUUUUUUUUACAUGCACUUUUAUUUUCUUUACUUAGUGAUAAUCAAUAAAUAAUAAAGAAUAUCACCUUUAAUAUCUAA